This is a long non-coding RNA of Pristis pectinata (smalltooth sawfish), 362 nucleotides long. RefSeq lists it as uncharacterized. NCBI's taxonomy places the organism in Eukaryota, Metazoa, Chordata, Chondrichthyes, Rhinopristiformes, Pristidae. The transcript is spliced from 3 exons. The record is from RefSeq and is a predicted model, not a curated record.
CGAGGCAGUACAGAGUGCACUGAGGUAGUACAGGGUGCAUCGAGGUAGUACAGGGUGCACUGAGGUAGUACAGGGUGCAUCGAGGUAGUACAGGGAGCACUGAGGUAGUACAGGGUGCAUCGAGGUAGUACAGGGUGCACUGAGGUAGUACAGGGUGCAUCGAGGUAGUACAGGGUGCACUGAGGUAGUACAGGGUGCAUCGAGGUAGUACAGGGUGCACUGAGGUAGUACAGGGUGCAUCGAGGUAGUACAGGGUGCACUGAGGUAGUACAGGGUGCACUGAGGUAGUACAGGGUGCAUCGAGGUAGUACAGGGUGCACUGAGGUAGUACAGGGUGCAUCGAGGUAGUACAGGGUGCACUG